GGGCCCGCACAAGCGGUGGAGCAUGUGGUUUAAUUCGACGCAACGCGAAGAACCUUACCAGGUUUUGACAUCCUCUGACCACCCAAGAGAUUGGGUUUUCAAUCUUCGGAUUGACAGAGAGACAGGUGGUGCAUGGUUGUCGUCAGCUCGUGUCGUGAGAUGUUGGGUUAAGUCCCGCAACGAGCGCAACCCUUAUUCUUAGUUGCCAGCAUGAGAGAUGGGCACUCUAAGGAGACUGCCGGUGACAAACCGGAGGAAGGUGGGGAUGACGUCAAAUCAUCAUGCCCUUUAUGACCUGGGCGACACACGUGCUACAAUGGCCUGUACAAAGGGUAGCGAAGCCGUGAGGUGGAGCCAAUCCCAAAAAGCAGGUCUCAGUUCGGAUUGCAGGCUGCAACUCGCCUGCAUGAAGUCGGAAUCGCUAGUAAUCGCGGAUCAGCACGCCGCGGUGAAUACGUUCCCGGGCCUU
Molecule: ribosomal RNA, 469 nt
Filed under: uncultured bacterium
Lineage: Bacteria
Description: bacterial SSU rRNA
Rfam family: Bacterial small subunit ribosomal RNA
Source: RNAcentral